Molecule: ribosomal RNA, 405 nt
Filed under: Nematoda environmental sample
Lineage: Eukaryota; Metazoa; Nematoda
Description: SSU rRNA
Rfam family: Eukaryotic small subunit ribosomal RNA
Source: RNAcentral
UGCUUGUCUCAAAGAUUAAGCCAUGCACGUCUAUGCACAAGCCGAUACGGUGAAGCCGCGAAUGGCUCAUUACAACAGCCACUGUUUACUUGAUUCUGAUUAUCCUACUGGAUAACUGUGGUAAUUCUAGAGCUAAUACAUGCAACCAAGCUCCGACCGUAAGGGACGAGCGCAUUUAUUAGAACAAAACCAAUCGGGCUUCGGCCUGAGGUUUGGUGAAUCUGAAUAACUGAGCUGAUCGCAUGGUCUUUGUAUCGGCGACGCAUCUUUCAAGUGUCUGCCUUAUCAACUUUCGAUGGUAGUUUAUGUGCCUACCAUGGUUGUAACGGGUAACGGAGAAUAAGGGUUCGACUCCGGAGAGGGAGCCUGAGAAACGGCUACCACAUCCRAGGAAGGCAGCAGGCA